UAGAUUUUGGAGGAAUGGCAGAGAGCAGAGGAAAGCUGAGGAGAAUUUCUAUUUUGCCCAGGGUAUCCUGACAGAAAAUGACCUCCUUAAAGACAGAAGACGGAUACAAAACACAAUGGCACGUCUUGGGGUCUGUAUGGAAAUUUUGUGGAAAACACAAAACUAUACCACUUCUCCCUCUGUGUGGCUGUGAUUUCAUAGAAAAGUUCUAGGGCUUGAGAAAUUCCUGGAAAGAGGUCAUUUGAUGACUGUUGAAGAUGGCAGAAACCUCACUUCUACCAAGGAGUUUAAUGUUAUUGUUGAAUAACUGAACUGCUGUAUUCAUCAAAUAUUCUGUCCUUAAAUAUAGUGGUUUUUCAAUAAAUGUAUAAUGAA
This is a long non-coding RNA of Mustela lutreola (European mink), 375 nucleotides long. RefSeq lists it as uncharacterized. The transcript has 3 exons. Lineage: Eukaryota; Metazoa; Chordata; Mammalia; Carnivora; Mustelidae. The record is from RefSeq and is a predicted model, not a curated record.